RNAcentral lists this non-coding RNA (406 nucleotides) under Pongo abelii (Sumatran orangutan). The record is from RNAcentral. Lineage: Eukaryota; Metazoa; Chordata; Mammalia; Primates; Hominidae.
GAAGAUGCUACGGCCUGCCACGACCACCUGGGCUGCGUCGCGGCACACACUGAUGGCAUUGGCGGGAGCAUCCAGGUGGCAGUGCAUGGUGCGGCCUGUCAGCACGCUGCCACCCAGGGCUGUGGUCACACGGGACAUCUUCUCCAUGGCUGCACAGGAAUGCGAGGUCCUCUGCCUUCGUGUAGUCACUGCUGUUUCCAUUCUACCAUGUGAGCAUCCAGCCGCUGCCCCUGCGUUGCAAGAAAGUAUAAAUCUGAUAAGAGGCACAGGAGAAUCCCGAGACCUGGGAUGCGCAGGGCAGAUAUGCCCGCCUACACUGUUGUCUGGGGACCUAAAAACAACUCAGACACAUGUUUUUACAACUUUUUUAAUAUAUAUUUUUAUAAACAGGUCACGUGAUAAAAUA